Molecule: ribosomal RNA, 468 nt
Filed under: uncultured bacterium
Lineage: Bacteria
Description: partial 16S ribosomal RNA
Rfam family: Bacterial small subunit ribosomal RNA
Source: RNAcentral
GACGAACGCUGGCGGCGUGCUUAACACAUGCAAGUCGAACGGAAAGGCCCUGCUUUUGUGGGGUGCUCGAGUGGCGAACGGGUGAGUAACACGUGAGUAACCUGCCCUUGACUUUGGGAUAACUUCAGGAAACUGGGGCUAAUACCGGAUAGGAGCUCCUGCUGCAUGGUGGGGGUUGGAAAGUUUCGGCGGUUGGGGAUGGACUCGCGGCUUAUCAGCCUGUUGGUGGGGUAGUGGCUUACCAAGGCUUUGACGGGUAGCCGGCCUGAGAGGGUGACCGGCCACAUUGGGACUGAGAUGCGGCCCAGACUCCUACGGGAGGCAGCAGUGGGGAAUAUUGCACAAUGGGCGGAAGCCUGAUGCAGUAACGCCGCGUGCGGGAUGACGGCCUUCGGGUUGUAAACCGCUUUCGCCUGUGACGAAGCGUGAGUGACGGUAAUGGGUAAAGAAGCACCGGCUAACUACGUG